GCAAACUUGGUCAUUUAGAGGAAGUAAAAGUCGUAACAAGGUUUCCGUAGGUGAACCUGCGGAAGGAUCAUUAUUGAAUGAACUUGGUUGGGUUGUUAUGCUGGCUCCUUGGAGCAUGUGCACGCCUCAUCCCAUUUUCUUAACACUUCCUUGUGAACCUUGUGUAGACCUGGAUAACUCAAGGAUAACUUUUCCUUGGUCAGAGGAUUUGCUGUGCGGUUAAAGCCAGCUAUUCUUGAAUUCUUGUCUAUGUGUUAUAUAUGCAAUCAGAAAUGUAUUUGAAUGACGUUAAAUUGGCUUAUUAUGCCUUUGAAAUAUAUAUAUAUAACUUUCAACAACGGAUCUCUUGGCUCUCGCAUCGAUGAAGAACGCAGC
Molecule: unclassified non-coding RNA, 375 nt
Filed under: uncultured fungus
Lineage: Eukaryota; Fungi
Description: partial contains small subunit ribosomal RNA, internal transcribed spacer 1, and 5.8S ribosomal RNA
Rfam family: Eukaryotic small subunit ribosomal RNA (bases 1-73)
Source: RNAcentral